RNAcentral lists this transfer RNA (73 nucleotides) under Polyangiaceae bacterium. RNAcentral's name for it is "tRNA-Gly". It matches the Rfam family "tRNA". From Rfam's summary of the family: Transfer RNA (tRNA) molecules are approximately 80 nucleotides in length. Their secondary structure includes four short double-helical elements and three loops (D, anti-codon, and T loops). Further hydrogen bonds mediate the characteristic L-shaped molecular structure. tRNAs have two regions of fundamental functional importance: the anti-codon, which is responsible for specific mRNA codon recognition, and the 3' end, to which the tRNAs corresponding amino acid is attached (by aminoacyl-tRNA synthetases). tRNAs cope with the degeneracy of the genetic code in two manners: having more than one tRNA (with a specific anti-codon) for a particular amino acid; and 'wobble' base-pairing, i.e. permitting non-standard base-pairing at the 3rd anti-codon position. Lineage: Bacteria; Pseudomonadati; Myxococcota; Polyangiales; Polyangiaceae. The record is from RNAcentral.
GCGGGAAUAGCUCAGCUGGUAGAGCACAAGCUUCCCAAGCUUGGGGUCGAGGGUUCGAAUCCCUUUUCCCGCU